UCCAAGCUAUUUUCAAAUUGGCAACAGGCAGGUAAGAAAAUAAGACAUUCUUGUUUUCACCAGUAGAUGGCAGAAGGAAGAAAAGACCACUCCGGAGAGGGAAGGAGUUUUAAUUUGGAGCCGAGUGAUUCACAGUGGGCUGUGGCUGAGGCACAGGGGCAGAUGAGGCAGACUCCUUGUAUGACUACAGUGGAGGACAGUCCCACUGGAACUAGGGGUCAGGGGUCAGGGUGGGGAGGAGAACUACCUACAGGUAUGUGAAGGGUGUCAGCCUUCAAGAAGAUCUGCUAGGUUGACCCAGAGGAUGGGGACUGGGAGCCCCGAAGUAAAGAAAAUAAAAGUGACCUUUGGACUGCCAGAAGAUUCACGUGAAACCUCACAUAAAAUCAGCAUGUGAAGACAGAGAGGAUGUUGGUGAUCACCAGAAUCUGUUCAUUUUUCCUUUGAAGAUACUUAAAGGAAGUAUGUGUAUGUUUACAGAUGCUUUGUAGUUUUAAAUUUAUGCUGGACAUUGCAUAAAAUGGAAAAUAGAGGUUAAAGUAAUAUUUGCUCCCAACAAAGGACCAUCCUACAGGAAGCUGAGUAAGUAUAAUCUGAAGUUAAAGUGAGCCUGGGGUAUUUUGUGUUUUUGGUUUUUUUUUUUUUUUUUGCAGUUUUAGUUAGAUUCCGAUCACCAUGGGCUUCAGAUGUUUUGACAGCGGGAUCAAGAUGUUCUCCUCAGCAAAGCUUAGGAUAUGACACCUGCAAGAGCACAGAGAUCUCCUUAUGCUUUUUAUCUAGCCACCAGUUUUACAAACCAUGGCGAUCCCUGUCGUUGGUAUUGGAGUGUUACUGCUCCUAGGCCCUCUUUGUGGACAGAG
Molecule: long non-coding RNA, 860 nt
Filed under: Homo sapiens (human)
Lineage: Eukaryota; Metazoa; Chordata; Mammalia; Primates; Hominidae
Description: HSALNT0185798
Source: RNAcentral